CGCGUAGGCGGCCUUAUAAGUCUGAAGUGAAAGUCCUGCUUUCAAGGUGGGAAUUGCUUUGGAUACUGUAGGGCUUGAGUGCAGGAGAGGUAAGUGGAAUUCCCAGUGUAGCGGUGAAAUGCGUAGAGAUUGGGAGGAACACCAGUGGCGAAGGCGACUUACUGGACUGUAACUGACGCUGAGGCGCGAAAGUGUGGGGAGCAAACA
RNAcentral lists this ribosomal RNA (207 nucleotides) under uncultured bacterium. Its description in RNAcentral is "partial 16S ribosomal RNA". It matches the Rfam family "Bacterial small subunit ribosomal RNA", at positions 568 to 774 of the family's 1533-position model. The record is from RNAcentral.